CAGAUGCAUAAAAUCGUGUUAAUCAUAAACAGCAAACAACUUCAUGCUGAAGUAAUCACCCAAGGGUCAUUUAAGCUGUGCGCUCACAGACGCGCAACUCGCACGAGUGAUCAAAACGCGCAAGCAUCCUAUUUCAAAUUUAAUCAGUCACGGAAAAUCGGUUGAGCUGAAAACCUGAGGGGGGCGAAGUUACACUGGUAAGUAAGAAAUACAUAAAUGUGUUGAUUACUUUUGUUAUUUUAUUUAUUUCGAACUUACUCCUCAUCAUUUAUGACUUACAUGUUUAUUUCAGCAAGCACAAAGAAGAAACGUCCACAAACUGUUUCGUCCAGGCCUGCACUGUUCUCCGCCAGGAGGUAGUUUCAUUCAUAGAGCACAUUACAUCCAAAACUGAAUGAAGCCGACUGCACUGAUAUAAAGAGAUUAACUGAGCUCUAUUCAAGAGAAUGUCUAAUGUCAAAGAGAGGAAGUGAUGGAAAUGUUUCAGUUUCUCAACUUGAAAGACCUUCAUCUAACUCAGAGCACUUCUGAAGUUCUGGUCACCAACAUCAUCAGAGCCAUGAGAAGUGAAAAUCACACAGGACAUCUGACUUCAAAACAAAGAAAUAAAAGUUAAAUAUUUUCCCAUUAUUUGUCAUUUUUUUGCAUUGCAUCAAGGUUUUUAUGAUAAAUAAUGGUUAAUUUCUGUUUGCAAUGGCUCUGGAGUGCAGCAUUACUGGUUUGACCAUCUUCAUACAGAUAAAACACAACACUCCUCUUCAUGGAUCAGCACAUCCAUCCUCAACCUGAUCUUUCAUAUGGUGUCAAGACCCCUCAGAUAGUGCAGAGAGUCGGCAUCAAACUUAUGACAUGGAGUUGGCUGAAGUCAAGUGAAGUUUUCUUUAAUUUGUUGUAUCCAAAAGACCUCACUCAGUGUGUUUCAUUAUAACCAUGCUGUAGAAAGAC
Myxocyprinus asiaticus (Chinese sucker) is the source of this 945-nucleotide long non-coding RNA. RefSeq lists it as uncharacterized. The record is from RefSeq and is a predicted model, not a curated record. NCBI's taxonomy places the organism in Eukaryota, Metazoa, Chordata, Actinopteri, Cypriniformes, Catostomidae. The transcript is spliced from 3 exons.